RNAcentral lists this ribosomal RNA (253 nucleotides) under uncultured bacterium. RNAcentral describes it as "partial 16S ribosomal RNA". It matches the Rfam family "Bacterial small subunit ribosomal RNA", at positions 524 to 776 of the family's 1533-position model. The record is from RNAcentral.
GACAGAGGGUGCAAACGUUGUUCGGAAUUACUGGGCGUAAAGCGCGUGUAGGCGGCUCUGCAAGUCGGAUGUGAAAGCCCUCGGCUCAACCGGGGAAGUGCACCCGAAACUGCAAAGCUAGAGUCUCGGAGAGGAUCGUGGAAUUCUCGGUGUAGAGGUGAAAUUCGUAGAUAUCGAGAGGAACACCGGUGGCGAAGGCGGCGAGCUGGACGAGGACUGACGCUGAGACGCGAAAGCGUGGGGAGCAAACAGG